This 861-nucleotide long non-coding RNA is filed under the name Equus asinus (donkey). RNAcentral's name for it is "lncRNA (ENSEASG00005030369.1)". Lineage: Eukaryota; Metazoa; Chordata; Mammalia; Perissodactyla; Equidae. The record is from RNAcentral.
GCCAGUGUGAAAUAAGGAAGACAAUUGCAUGAGGACCUCCAAACUCUUCCUUACCCUCCAUCUAUUUAUUGAUAACCAUAAAUUAGUUUGUAAGAAAACAACAUGAAAUAAAAGUAAUAACUGAGGGAAACAGGAUGGAGGGAAAAAGGAGCAAUGCAUUUAUGUUUAUAAUCUUUUUCUCCGCAUCGAUACGCAUCCUACUAUAAAUUCAUUACGCGUGUUUUCAUGUGUCCAGCCCUGUGGUGGAUGCUACGCGGGAUGCACAAGAUGUACAGAGCCUAGCCCCUGUGCUCAUGGAGGUUUUCGUCUCAUGGGAAAGGCAUUAAUAAAGUCUUCCAUCUGUGUCACUGAAGAGGGAUCAGCAUUUCCUUGAUAUGAAGGAGGAAACUGAGCCUUAGAGGGUUGAAGGACCUGAGGAGACAGCAGGGGGAUUGGGGCUCAAGUUCCAGUGUCCUGACUCCAGGUUUCGUGUUCUUCCCACUCUGCCGUUAUUCUCAUCCAGCUUCCUCUGCAGACACUUCAUAGAGCUGUGACACGGGAAGCAGCGUGGCAGUGCCUCAUCGACUGGCCGUGACAAGGAGAAUUGACUCUCAGGAUAAGGAAAUCAAUGAGGGCUGAGGAGAACGGCAAGGAAGGAGAGUAGAAGAUGGAGCUGGAGGAAACUGUAGGACUUGGCCAGAGGCCUAUCGAGGGAGAGCCUUCCAGACUCCGCGGGUCCUUGUGUGUGUCGUCCAAAGGGCCACAGAAAAGCCACCAGACACUGUGUUUUCAAGAGCUUAUUAUGGAAGCAGUGAGAACGAGGUAAAUGUAUUCUCCCUCUAUCUCUGUAUAUGCAAAUACAAAUAUAUACAUAUGUAUACG